GACGAACGCUGGCGGCGUGCUUAACACAUGCAAGUCGAACGGAAAGGCCCUGCUUUUGUGGGGUGCUCGAGUGGCGAACGGGUGAGUAACACGUGAGUAACCUGCCCUUGACUUUGGGAUAACUUCAGGAAACUGGGGCUAAUACCGGAUAGGAGCUCCUGCUGCAUGGUGGGGGUUGGAAAGUUUCGGCGGUUGGGGAUGGACUCGCGGCUUAUCAGCUUGUUGGUGGGGUAGUGGCUUACCAAGGCUUUGACGGGUAGCCGACCUGAGAGGGUGACCGGCCACAUUGGGACUGAGAUACGGCCCAGACUCCUACGGGAGGCAGAAGUGGGGAAUAUUGCACAAUGGGCGGAAGCCUGAUGCAGCAACGCCGCGUGCGGGAUGACGGCCUUCGGGUUGUAAACCGCUUUCGCCUGUGACGAAGCGUGAGUGACGGUAAUGGGUAAAGAAGCACCGGCUAACUACGUG
RNAcentral lists this ribosomal RNA (468 nucleotides) under uncultured bacterium. Its description in RNAcentral is "partial 16S ribosomal RNA". It matches the Rfam family "Bacterial small subunit ribosomal RNA", at positions 28 to 507 of the family's 1533-position model. The record is from RNAcentral.